This 180-nucleotide ribosomal RNA is filed under the name Salmonella enterica subsp. enterica serovar Paratyphi B var. L(+) tartrate +. RNAcentral describes it as "partial 23S ribosomal RNA". It matches the Rfam family "Bacterial large subunit ribosomal RNA", at positions 1 to 172 of the family's 2925-position model. Lineage: Bacteria; Pseudomonadati; Pseudomonadota; Gammaproteobacteria; Enterobacterales; Enterobacteriaceae. The record is from RNAcentral.
GGGUUGUGAGGUUAAGUGACUAAGCGUACACGGUGGAUGCCUAGGCAGUCAGAGGCGAUGAAGGGCGUGCUAAUCUGCGAUAAGCGUCGGUAAGGUGAUAUGAACCGUUAUAACCGGCGAUACCCGAAUGGGGAAACCCAGUGCAAUUCGUUGCACUAUCAUACGAUGAAUACAUAGUCG